GGGGAAUAUUGGACAAUGGGCGCAAGCCUGAUCCAGCAAUGCCGCGUGGGUGAAGAAGGUCUUCGGAUUGUAAAGCCCUUUCGGCGGGGACGAUGAUGACGGUACCCGCAGAAGAAGCCCCGGCUAACUUCGUGCCAGCAGCCGCGGUAAUACGAAGGGGGCUAGCGUUGCUCGGAAUGACUGGGCGUAAAGGGCGCGUAGGCUGUUCGUACAGUCAGAUGUGAAAUUCCUGGGCUUAACCUGGGGGCUGCAUUUGAUACGUACGGGCUUGAGUGUGAAAGAGGGUCGUGGAAUUCCCAGUGUAGAGGUGAAAUUCGUAGAUAUUGGGAAGAACACCGGUGGCGAAGGCGGCGACCUGGUUCACAACUGACGCUGAGGCGCGAAAGCGUGGGGAGCAAACAGGA
This 404-nucleotide ribosomal RNA is filed under the name uncultured Endobacter sp. Its description in RNAcentral is "bacterial SSU rRNA". It matches the Rfam family "Bacterial small subunit ribosomal RNA", at positions 356 to 777 of the family's 1533-position model. The record is from RNAcentral. Lineage: Bacteria; Pseudomonadati; Pseudomonadota; Alphaproteobacteria; Acetobacterales; Acetobacteraceae.